UACGGAGGGUGCAAGCAUUAAUCGGAUUUAUUGGGCGUAAAGGGCGCGUAGGCGGGAAGAUAAGUCAGAUGUGAAAUCCUGGAGCUCAACUCCAGAACAGCAUUUGAAACUAUCUUUCUAGAGGGUAGGCGGAGAAAACGGAAUUCCACAAGUAGCGGUGAAAUGCGUAGAUAUGUGGAAGAACACCGGUGGCGAAGGCGGUUUUCUAGCUUAAACCUGACGCUGAGGCGCGAAAGCAAGGGGAUCAAACAGG
Molecule: ribosomal RNA, 253 nt
Filed under: uncultured bacterium
Lineage: Bacteria
Description: partial 16S ribosomal RNA
Rfam family: Bacterial small subunit ribosomal RNA
Source: RNAcentral